Molecule: ribosomal RNA, 500 nt
Filed under: uncultured bacterium
Lineage: Bacteria
Description: partial 16S ribosomal RNA
Rfam family: Bacterial small subunit ribosomal RNA
Source: RNAcentral
AUUGAACGCUGGCGGCAGGCCUAACACAUGCAAGUCGAGCGGAUGACGGGAGCUUGCUCCUUGAUUCAGCGGCGGACGGGUGAGUAAUGCCUAGGAAUCUGCCUGGUAGUGGGGGACAACGUUUCGAAAGGAACGCUAAUACCGCAUACGUCCUACGGGAGAAAGCAGGGGACCUUCGGGCCUUGCGCUAUCAGAUGAGCCUAGGUCGGAUUAGCUAGUUGGUGAGGUAAUGGCUCACCAAGGCGACGAUCCGUAACUGGUCUGAGAUGAUGAUCAGUCACACUGGAACUGAGACACGGUCCAGACUCCUACGGGAGGCAGCAGUGGGGAAUAUUGGACAAUGGGCGAAAGCCUGAUCCAGCCAUGCCGCGUGUGUGAAGAAGGUCUUCGGAUUGUAAAGCACUUUAAGUUGGGAGGAAGGGCAGUAAGUUAAUACCUUGCUGUUUUGACGUUACCGACAGAAUAAGCACCGGCUAACUCUGUGCCAGCAGCCGCAGUAA